RNAcentral lists this ribosomal RNA (253 nucleotides) under uncultured bacterium. RNAcentral describes it as "partial 16S ribosomal RNA". It matches the Rfam family "Bacterial small subunit ribosomal RNA", at positions 524 to 776 of the family's 1533-position model. The record is from RNAcentral.
UACAGAGGGUGCGAGCGUUAAUCGGAAUUACUGGGCGUAAAGCGUGCGUAGACGGUUAUUUAAGUCGGGUGUGAAAUCCCCGGGCUUAACCGGGGAACUGCGUCUGAUACUGGAUGGCUUGAGUUUGGGAGAGGGAUGCGGAAUUCCAGGUGUAGCGGUGAAAUGCGUAGAUAUCUGGAGGAACACCGGUGGCGAAGGCGGCAUCCUGGACCAACACUGACGCUGAGGAGCGAAAGCGUGGGGAGCGAUCCGG